Spinacia oleracea (spinach) is the source of this 623-nucleotide long non-coding RNA. RefSeq lists it as uncharacterized. NCBI's taxonomy places the organism in Eukaryota, Viridiplantae, Streptophyta, Magnoliopsida, Caryophyllales, Amaranthaceae. The transcript is spliced from 4 exons. The record is from RefSeq and is a predicted model, not a curated record.
GAAAUUAAUGGUAACUUUUUGUUUUCUUACGUGAUGAACUGAGAUUGAUCGAGUCAUUGAGUGUCUCGAAAGGAAUCUCGAGGUGAGUCUCUAGUCUAAUGGUAACAAUGUGUUUCUCCACGGACCACGACGACUGUUCGUUCUUCCCUAAUUCAUUCACUUCUACGUGUUCUUCCUGUUCGUCCGUUUGAUUGAAGCUAUCUGAGUCUUCUCAUCAACGUACAGCAUUCCAAUCCAUGAAGGUGCUUGGGAAUGGAUCAAUGGAAUGACUAAGCUCAAAUGAACGACAGGAGGUCUGCAAACUAUAAUUUUAACCUCAUCUCUCAACAAUGGAGAAGCAUCAUUGAAAUGAAUCAUGGUUUCUAGACUAUCUACAUAAUUCUUGAUGAUCAGGAAGAUUGCAAUGGCCUGAAUCGAAGGAGAAGAAAACUGUUUUUAGAAGUGUGAGAUUCUUCUUCCGCCAAAAGGAGCUGCCAAAUCAGAACUGUAUUCAGGCAUAUUUGACAUACGUGAAGAUACAGUGGUGAAUCAUGGCUCACUAAUGGUCACAUGCGAAGAUAGGGUGGAGGAAUCACGGCUUACUAAUGGCUUUUCAGUGGUAUAUGUAAGAGGAUAAAGUAUCA